Molecule: ribosomal RNA, 537 nt
Filed under: Alternaria sp. JK96
Lineage: Eukaryota; Fungi; Ascomycota; Dothideomycetes; Pleosporales; Pleosporaceae
Also listed under: 1 other name
Description: eukaryotic LSU rRNA
Rfam family: 5.8S ribosomal RNA (bases 208-361)
Source: RNAcentral
CGUAACAAGGUCUCCGUAGGUGAACCUGCGGAGGGAUCAUUACACAAAUAUGAAGGCGGGCUGGAACCUCUCGGGGUUACAGCCUUGCUGAAUUAUUCACCCUUGUCUUUUGCGUACUUCUUGUUUCCUUGGUGGGUUCGCCCACCACUAGGACAAACAUAAACCUUUUGUAAUUGCAAUCAGCGUCAGUAACAAAUUAAUAAUUACAACUUUCAACAACGGAUCUCUUGGUUCUGGCAUCGAUGAAGAACGCAGCGAAAUGCGAUAAGUAGUGUGAAUUGCAGAAUUCAGUGAAUCAUCGAAUCUUUGAACGCACAUUGCGCCCUUUGGUAUUCCAAAGGGCAUGCCUGUUCGAGCGUCAUUUGUACCCUCAAGCUUUGCUUGGUGUUGGGCGUCUUGUCUCUAGCUUUGCUGGAGACUCGCCUUAAAGUAAUUGGCAGCCGGCCUACUGGUUUCGGAGCGCAGCACAAGUCGCACUCUCUAUCAGCAAAGGUCUAGCAUCCAUUAAGCCUUUUUUUCAACUUUGACCUCGGAUCA